This 451-nucleotide ribosomal RNA is filed under the name uncultured bacterium. RNAcentral describes it as "bacterial SSU rRNA". It matches the Rfam family "Bacterial small subunit ribosomal RNA", at positions 340 to 786 of the family's 1533-position model. The record is from RNAcentral.
UACGGAAGGCAGCAGGGGGGAAUAUUGCACAAUGGGCGCAAGCCUGAUGCAGCCAUGCCGCGUGUAUGAAAAAGGCCUUCGGGUUGUAAAGUACUUUCAGUCGUGAGGAAGGUGUUAAGGUUAAUAACCUUAGCAAUUGACGUUAGCGACAGAAGAAGCACCGGCUAACUCCGUGCCAGCAGCCGCGGUAAUACGGAGGGUGCGAGCGUUAAUCGGAAUUACUGGGCGUAAAGGCGCGCAGGCGGUUAAUUAAGUUGGAUGUGAAAUCCCCGGGCUUAACCUGGGAAUGGCAUUCAAGACUGGUUAGCUAGAGUCUUGUAGAGGGGGUAGAAUUCCAUGUGUAGCGGUGAAUGCGUAGAGAUGUGGAGGAAUACCGGUGGCGAAGGCGGCCCCUGGACAAAGACUGACGCUCAUGUGCGAAAGCGUGGGGAGCAAACAGGGAUUAGAUACC